CCCUUAGAUGUACUGGGCCGCACGCGCGCUACACUGAUGCAUUCAACGAGCCUAUCCUUGACCGACAGGUCCGGGUAAUCUUUGAAUCUGCAUCGUGACGGGGAUAGAUUAUUGCAAUUAUUAAUCUUCAACGAGGAAUGCCUAGUAGGCGCAAGUCAUCAGCUUGCGUCGAUUACGUCCCUGCCCUUUGUACACACCGCCCGUCGCUCCUACCGAUUGGGUGUGCUGGUGAAAUGUUCGGAUCGGCCGUUUGUCGCGGUUUCCGCGUCAUGUGGCUGAGAAGUUCAUUAAACCCUCCCACCUAGAGGAAGGAGAAGUCGUAACA
Molecule: ribosomal RNA, 325 nt
Filed under: uncultured eukaryote
Lineage: Eukaryota
Description: partial 18S ribosomal RNA
Rfam family: Eukaryotic small subunit ribosomal RNA
Source: RNAcentral